CUGGCCUGAGCAGGGAGCAGCCAGCAGAUUUUCUGUCCCAUUUCUGUAUAUUUUGCACAUCAGAGGCAUUUUUGGGGUAGCAUGCCUGUGAAGGAAACAAGCUAGGAUGAAAGCAAAGCCUUGCAGGAGCUGACAGCUUCUCUGGAGAUGAUGUAUGGUCAAGAUUCUGAAGCAGAUGACUCAGGAGAUUUUCAACAGUUCUUUGAGUGGAUGGGUGUUAAAACAAAGAAAUUAAUUUGUGUCAGAAAUAAUAUGGACACAACUCUGCAAAUUCUUGCUGACUGGUUCAGUGACAUCUCAAAGGACUCAGUCUACCUGGAAAGACUGUCAGCUGCUCCUUCUCCAUUCCUGCAGACCAGCUCCCUCAAUCUCCUUCUUGUCACUAUUACCCGUAAAUAUUCUAUUUGUGUCUGCACAGCCUCCCUGCCCGUGUGAGGUGUGCAUAAUCACAAGGGUGUGCCCUCUCAUGGGGAAUCAGUUUUUGCUCUUGCAUUUCAUUGUACCCAGAGCAUUUACUGUAGCCUGAUGCAGCAAUUUAGACUUGGUGCAUGUCAUGCAGAGUAUAAAGUUAAUGAAUGUAAUUACUUACAGCUGUUUAUAAUCAUGUUGGUUAUUAGAGGGGAGCAAACAAACAUGCAGGUGGGUUUCUGUGAUUGAAAUUCUGAGGGGUAUUCUGGAUGUAGAAUCAGCCAUGUAAGCAUGGCUGAAGUUUGUUAGUAUAGUAACAACUUUGGUUUACCUAUUUCAAAUCUGAAUUUUUCUGCAAAACCUUCAUAGGUACAGGAAGCGUACACAAAUUUGGUAUGGAUUGGUAUAGCACUAGUUGGUAGAUCAAGGAAGAAAUUUUCGUGUAUUCUUUGUCACUUCAACUUUUGCUAUGCAGUUUUUCUGUUGCAAUUUAACUUCUACCUCCUUUAAAAAAGGGUGAGCAAUUGUAUAGAGGAAAUGCUCCUUUGAAGUGUUUCCCUUCUCUUUAUUUUAAACACAUACUCCUCUCCCUCUUUUUCUGAAACAAAAUUCAUCUACUGUAACAUCUGUGAGAAUCUAUGCAAUAGGAAGUGCAUAGGUUUGGGUCAGUGACAGACAGGGACAAUUUCAGAGCCUGUG
This 1107-nucleotide long non-coding RNA is filed under the name Zonotrichia albicollis (white-throated sparrow). Its description in RNAcentral is "lncRNA (ENSZALG00000011276.1)". The record is from RNAcentral. Lineage: Eukaryota; Metazoa; Chordata; Aves; Passeriformes; Passerellidae.